UCCUCAACUCUAAACCCGAAACCCUAAACUCUAAACCCUAAAUCUUAAAUUUUAAACCUUAAACCCUAAACCCCACCCCUUAACUCCAAACCCUAAUGUUUAGAUUAAUUAACUCUAUAAGUGUAUAUUUACUUCUUUUGAUAAAACAUUUAACUCUAUUUUGGUCAUUUUUAUUUUUAAGGUCUAUAUUUGUGACAAAAAAAUUUUUAUGUGUAUCCUAGGGAAUUUCUCUUAUUUAUAUGAAUAUUAUAACAGUAAUUACGAAAUUAAUCAAUACACUAAUUUUUAAAAAAUAUUUAAAAUUCUUAGUAAGAUUUUGUUAUAUUUUUUCUCAACAGAUUUUGUUAUAACUAAAAGUAAAAUUUAAAUUUACAUUAAAAAUGAUUUCUUAUUGAUAUACUUAUGAUUAAUUUUUUUAGGAAUAUUAUAUAUUUAAUCGAUUAAUGUAAGUAAUCAAGUAAAUAUAAUUAAUGAGAUGGACUUAGUAUGACUAUUUUAAUGGUAUAUAACAUAUGAAAAUAAUAUCAGUGUUUUGAAAGACGGAUUAGCCUUUGUUGAAAAUUUUAAAACAUUAAUCUAUGAUCGGACCAAGUAUGACUUUUCUGGAAAUAUUAAAAACAUUGGAUAUGUGUCCACAAAAGAUCGAAUUAGGCAUUGAUUGGUAGAGCAUUAGCAUUAGCAGUUUAGCAUUAUGCUCUACAUUAUCCAAUUAACAAUUGUUAGAAAAUCAUUUAGAAAAUCAUUUAUUAAAUGCUAAUGCUCUCUGGCCAAUGCUCUCAUAUGAAGCUCUAAGAAGAUCAUUUGCAUUUAUAAUUUAUAAAAUUAAGAAAAAUCUAUAAUUAAUUCAUUUAUUUUAUUUAAUAAUAUCAUAAAAUUAUUUUUAUAUCCAGAAAAUAAAAUUUAAUUUCUAAAAUUAAUUUACAAUAAAAAUAUUUUUUUUGUAAAAAUAGUAUUUCACAUUUAAAAUAUAAUAUAAUUUAUAUAAUUUAAUUUGUUUUAAAUGUGAAAAACAUAUUCUAAAAAAUAGAUAUUUUAAUAUUUUUUGAUAUAAACAUAAUUUUUAAAUUAUUAAAUAAAAUAUAUCAAUUAUAUAUCAUUUUAAUUUUAUAUGUUAAUAUAUUUAUAUAUAUAUAUAUAUAUUAGAAAUAUAUUCAUUAAAAAUAAAUAUAUUAUAUAUUAUAUAUUAAUUUUUAUAAUAAUUUUAAAUAACAUACUCAUACUGCUCUACCAAUCUUCUAAUUACACAGUUUAGCAAAAGCAUACAACUCCUGUUGCAUAUUACUUCUAUAGCAUACUGUUACUAUUAAUGCUAAUGUCCUACAAAUCAAGGUCUUAGGCAUGUAGACAUGUAGUUAAUGCAGCAACUUAGCGUGACACAUUAGGAAAAAAGAAGAAGAAAAUAGAUGGAAACAUGAAUGUUACUUACCUCUGUUAAGUUUUAGUAACAUUUAGAGGAUUACCGGAGUGGUUAAAAGUUAGUGACUUUUGCUUAGAUGACAAUCAAUGGUAAAAAUUUUAAAAAUUAUUAUAAUUUGAUUAGACAAUGACUUUUCAUUUUUAAUUAUCUUAGUUAGAUCUAAAAUACAAGAUAGUGUGGAACUAAUUAAUAUCACUUAUCAAAUAAUCUAUAAGAUAUUAAAAAUAAUAAUUGAUGGUAACUAACUGUCAAAAUUAUAGAAAUAGUGAUAAGGGUUGACAAAAAAUAGAGUAAUAAUAUUUGAUCAUUUCAUUUUUAUAUUUUUAAACUACAGAAAAUAAUGAAUAGAAAACAAAUUUAUAGAAAUCAAUAUAAUAAUUUCAUAUUCUUAUAUAAAACAUUAUAAUCAAAUAUGGAGUAGUAUAAUAAUUUUUAAUGUCUUAUGAUGUCCAUAUAUUCUUUAUAAAUCAUAUAAAGAUUUAAAACAUUUAUCAAAUCAUUCAUCAUGGCUUAAACAUAAUUUUAUCAUAACUUUAAAUUAUCUAUAAGAGUUAUUAAAUCAUUUAUAAAAUAAAAAUAUAAAUUAUAUAUUAAGUGAGAAGCUACUUAAGAGACAUUUACUUAUGUGUUAAUCACUGGUGAAAUCUUAAUAAUUUUUUGGUCGAUAAUUUUUAAUUUUACUUAUUUUAAUUAGAUGUAUUUCUUAUAUGUCGAUCUUUGGUGAAGUUUUAAGAAAUUAUUGUUGAUUUAAAAGUAAUAUUAUAAUUAGGGGUGUCAAAAUGGGUUGUAAUUAAUGGAUUGAUCCAAACCAAACCAACACAUGGUUCUAAUGAGUUAAUAAUUUGGAUAUUAAUGGAUUAAUGGUCUUUAAACCCGACCCGGAUACUGAACCGGACAACUUACCAGGUUGCUGGGUCAUUGGGUUGACCGCGGGUGAACCGCGGGUUAAAAAUGAAUUAAUUUUUUGUUAUUAGCAUUUUUGUUAUUCAAUGUUAAUAGGUUGAUAGUAAUUUCAUUGUGAUAUAGUAGAAUUUUUAAAUUUUUGUUUAUUAAUAGUAUUGUUAAUGAGUUAACCCAUUAAAACCACUAACUCAUUAAUUUAUAUGAGUUAUGGUUUAGUCCAAUCCAUUUAGUUAAUGGGUUGGAUUAACUCAUGAUCCAUAAACUGCUUAAUCCAUUUGGAUAUGGAUUGAUUUGAGUUAGUUUACCCAUUUUGACACCUCAAUAUAAAUGUUUGCUUUCAAGAUUGAACGGAUUAUAUUUAAUGGAAUAUUUGAGAACUUUGCAAUUAUAAAAUAUUUUGAAUUUGAGUCAAAGAGACUAUAGUAUAGUAAAUAAGGUGAUGUUGUGAUUGAAAAUCUAUAUAGUAACUGCAUGUAUAACUCCACUGAAUUUGUCAUUACUAAAUUUUGCAUCAAAUUUAUGAAAAUUUUGCAACUGAAAUUUAAUUUGCAUCAAAAUUAAAAGAGGUGAUAGAUAAGAUAGUUUAGUGAUUAUAAAGUGUUUUAAAUAGAUUUUUUUGGUUAACUGAUCAUAAAUUUAUUAAUCAUUUAAUCAAAUUCAUGUAAAAAUAUUUUAACUACUUAGACUAGUAUUAUUAAAUUAUCAGUAAAUCUCAUCUUCCAAUACUAAAAGUUCAUAUUCCUCAAAGGAGAGAGCUGACACAUCAGCCCAAAAAAUCAACCAAUCGUAUGCCUUUAACUUACCACGUCAGCUCACUCCUUUUGCUAACACAGAUUUCCACAAUUGUAUCGUGACUAUCGUCUCUUCCUCAAACGUUGUUCUGUGACUUUUCCUUUACACCCUUCAGCGGUUUAAGUUGAAGACAAUAUCUCUGCCUAUCGACCUCCCCACUAUAAGAUCAAUAACUGUACCAUUCAACACAAUAACCUCUUCCCUUUCCCCAACCUAACUAUAUAUAUGGUGAGAUUCAAGACCACAGUUCCUCACAUCGUCUUCCCCAAAGGCCAAAACACUGGCCUCAUUAAACUCCAAGGCUAAAGCACAACUAUGAUAUCAGGUCAACCAUUAAAGAAAAAGACAUCUGAUCAAGUUGUUGACGCAGACGACCUUCAGAUGGAUGAGGACGAGGAUGAUAAUGAGGAAGAUGGCCAAGAAGUAGAUCACCGAAAUAGAGCAAAAACCCGACAGUUACUGAAGAUGACUGGACUAUGCAUGACAGUAAUUCUUGGCCCGAUCAUCCUGUCAUGAUCUAGGUCUUCCUUGGAAACAACAAUGUUUGCGAUGUAGAAAACCAUGAGCUUCCUAGGCUGGUUUAUCUUCUCGUGAGACUUGGAUUUGACCAUCACAAGAAGGCUGGCGCCAUGAAUUCGUUGAUACGAGUCUUGGGGGUUCUAUCAGUUGUGCCUUACCUUUUGAAUGUCAGAAUGUGACACUACAUCUGCAAUAGCAAAACUCUAAGAGAAGCAAUGUGUUUCGUGGUGGCUUCUAAGUCGGGAAAUAAGUUUUGUUAUUUUCACUACCCUCAAAGAUUCGAUGGGAUCGGUAGACCCAACAGAUACAGUAAUGGCAGCGUUGUAUUCUUCGGCGCCACUCUCAACUACGGGACGGCACUGAUCACCACCUUCCUUCUCUUGAGUCAUAACCUAGGUUUUAGUAAUCUUAAUUGCACUCCCACUUCGGCACUGGUUUUGUUCCUACCAUUAGCUUCUCUUAAAGCAAACAGAACAAUAGCAUCGGUGCUGGAGCUUCGCACGAGCCACUGGAGAGAUUUUGUAAUGAGCACUUGAAAGUUGAGCGUGCUGAUCCAAAAACAAGGCUUUCUGAUUUUUGUUAUCCCCCACGACAAAGAAACAUUUCUUGCGCUCGGGCUUGCGACUCUUGAAAAAGUGUUUCUGAACAUCGCUAGACGGGGUGAAAUAGAAACUGCAACCACUGAAGCAACCAUGGUCACCCUCAAUAAAGAUUCUGGCAUCUCACAAAAAGAUACAGAUAAAGAUACCAGUGGGAGCCAGAUUUGUUGGGAUCCUUGACACCAAACGCAGAGAAUUUAAUUGGAGUAAUGGUUGAAGUUUACUGGCAACAAGAUGGGUCGGGAUAGAUGGCAAUAGUCCACAUCUUUCUUUUUUUUGGUCGUAAUGUUUAGUUCACAUCUUCACAUCGAUUUUUUUUAUUGUUCAAUGUGACAAAAGUAUCGUAAUGUAUAUGCAUGUUACAGACACAAGUCAGUGACUGAUUUAUUUGCUGACAUGUGAGCGACCCUUUUAUGAUAGGAUUUGUAUUUCUCGACAGAUAUUUGAACUUAUAGAAGAUGUCAAACAAUCUAACAAAAUAAAUUUAACUCUUUAAUUUUUUUUUUGAUAGCAAAAAAUUCACAGACUCAUAUUGAUUAUGUAAACCAAAUCGGCAACUCUGCAUCCAUGUGAACAACGAAAGACGACUGUCUUCUAGCACUGCGUACUAAGCUAUCCGCCCUUUGAUUCUCCGUACGACGGUACGAGGUACAUGAACAAUAUCUGAGUUGUGGAAACUCCUUCGUAGAAGCUUGAUGUCUUCCAGAUAACUUCCAAAUGCUGGUCAUUCUUCUCGUUCCGAAACUAUCUUCACCAAUUGAGAACAAUUCGUUGCAAAUGUAACAUGAAAUUGUCUUAAAUUCUUCAUACAUUCCAUUGCUCAAAUUAAAGCUUUCAUCUCCGAAUGGAGAGGUAAAAGACAUGCCCUUACAUUCCUUGCUCCUAAUAAACCAUCGAAUCCCGGUAAAGUACUAUAUCAUCCUUGUCCCGAGAAUAAUUUCUUAUCUUUCCAAGAACCAUCUGUAAAGCACCAUCGUCCUGAAGUUUGUAUCGUGGAUCUGACAUGUACAUGUUGUUCCCUUUUCUGACUAUUGAGUACAUGUGCCUCGGCCCAAAGUGUUGAUUCCAACUCUUUAAUUUAAUAGAUAAAGUAUAUAAGCUGCAUGAUAUUUUGAUAUUUUUCUCGCUAAAGUAUAUAAGCUGCAUGAAAUAUUUAAAUUUUUAUAUACUUUCUCUUUUUGUAUUUAAAUAUUAUUUUAUUGUUUUGGGUUUUGUUUUACUAUUUAUUUUAAUUUAUAUUAAAAUCUAAAAAAUAAAAUGGAUUAAUAAAAAUCUAAAAAAAAAGAAAUAUAAAGAAAUAUGUAUCAUCAUUUUAAAAAUACAAAAUAGUAGUAUUUUCCUCAUAGAUCUCUAAUGAUUUUAAAUUUAUAAAACUGAAGGGACAAAAGCUACUAAAAAGACAUUCUAACAAACAUGAGUAUACAAGUAGUUUUAAUAUUAGUCAGAAUUAAUAGUAAACAUUUUAUUUAAUAUUAUUGCAACAGACUAUUUUCGACCAUAUUAUUUAAAAAUCAGAGAUAAAUGGUUUUUUUUUGAUGAGAGAUAAAUGGUUAAAGGCAAGUUAUCUAAUUUCAUGAAAUCUAAUUUUAUGGUAUUUUCAAAUGACAAAAUACAUGCCUUAUAGACAAUCACAAAGUAUGAACGAUCGGACAACCAAAUCCUCGAUAAAAACAUCAACAGAAAAUAACUAAAUGUAAGAAAAAAAUAAUGAAAUUACCAUGUACAACUUUUAGGAGAAUUUUCAAUGGUCAAUAGUAAUUUAGAUUUUCUUCUUCUCUCAGGUUGUUGAUAGACUCAUAUGUUAUAUAUCUAAGUCGUAUUAAAAAUGAGAAUAUUAACCCCUUUUUUUUUUGACUGAAAUAUCAACCUUUUCUGCAUUACUAAUUAUGACACUUCUAAGUUAUAAUCAUUUAGUAUUAUGGUUAAGAUGAUUUUGAAAUGUGUAGAUCAUGGAGAAGGACUUCAAGUUCUACACUAUGAAGAAGGGUCAAAAAGUAUGAAUUUUGUUGAUAAGCUUAACACUAAGAAUGUGGAAGCACCGUCGCCUAUUGGUUAAAGUUUAAAGACUUCUACACCCAGGUCUGGGGUUCGAAUCCCAGACUUAUAGGAGGUCUAUGUUUCAAUUCCUAGAGAAAUCGAUUUAUUAAAACAAUUAUGCAGACUAUGGAAGAAAAACUUACAACUUCAAUAUAGAGCAAGUAAGUCCGGUCAGACAUGGAACUUCAUAGGAUGCCUCAGGUGAUGUAGUUAGGCGUAGACCCUCGUAAGACAUGUACUGUUGUCGGUUAUCGAAUCGUCUAUGUAAUCUUUUUCAUAAUUGUAAUAUCAUAAUAAAUUAUUGUUUAAAAAAGUUUAAUGCUAAGAAUAUAGGUCAUUAUUAUCAGGAGGAAAAUAAGGAAAUAGUGUAAUAUAAGUAGUUUCACUAUGUAACUAGAUGUUUUGCCCGCACAUGCGGGCAUAAUCGUUUUACUAAUAGUUAUUAAUAUAUUUCUUAUGAUUUAAACAUGACAAUAACUUAUUCUUUAUAUUCUUAAUCAUUUUAGUUUUCUUUAAUUUUUAUUUCGGUCUAAGUCUUCUUAGUACAAAGUAAAGCUAUAAAACUAUAAAACCAUGAAAGCAUAAUUACAUAACAAAUAUUACACACAAUAAAGUAAAAUAAGAAUGUGAACUUCUCUUUUGGACAACGAAGAAUGUAAACUUUUGGUCUCUCUUAAUCUACUUUGUAUUUUUGAACCAGAAAAAUGUAUUAAAUUACCAAAAAACAUUGAAACACACAAAUCCAAGUAAAAUAAAAUAAAUAAAAAGUAAAUAAAAAAUAAAGUUCGAUGAUAAUUUAGAAGAAAACUUAAAAGAACAAUUGAGAUAAUUAUAUUAUUUCAUUGGUUUACUUGAUAAAUAUAUACAUUGAGUUAUCGAAAUAUUUCAUAAGUUUACAUUUAAUAAACAAAAAAAUAGAAAAUGAUAGUUUUAUUAUUAUUAUAGUUAAUUAUAUAAUGAUAAAUCUAAUUAUUCAUUAAAAAUAUAUCUACUUUAGCCGUUUUAAAUAUUAAACCAUGAAACACAUGUUCAUAACAUGAUUACAUAAGCAACUCUCUAAACUUAAUAUCAAAGCAUAAGUUUUCUUAUAAAUUAAACAGUAAUACAACAUAUAAGUGACAUAACUGCCAUUAAAUAAUUUAGAAUAACUAAUCCAUAAUUCUAAACUGCAUGUAGCAAAACCGAUUUGCUUCCUAGUCUUUUAAACUCAAUGAAAGAAAGAAAAACAUAAAACUCCAACUAAACAGAAAACAAAUAUCGAAAG
Brassica rapa (field mustard) is the source of this 7531-nucleotide long non-coding RNA. RefSeq lists it as uncharacterized. The record is from RefSeq and is a predicted model, not a curated record. NCBI's taxonomy places the organism in Eukaryota, Viridiplantae, Streptophyta, Magnoliopsida, Brassicales, Brassicaceae.